Molecule: long non-coding RNA, 376 nt
Organism: Homalodisca vitripennis (glassy-winged sharpshooter)
Lineage: Eukaryota; Metazoa; Arthropoda; Insecta; Hemiptera; Cicadellidae
Exons: 3
Source: RefSeq, a predicted model, not a curated record
UGUAUUGGUCCCAGAUUUGAUCAUUACAGAGUUUGUAAGAGUUGUAAACCUCAUUUCACAUUUGAUUUAUUAUCUCGUUUACAAAUAUAGCUCCAACAGAUUACACGAGUUGAUUUGUUGCAACAUAUUUCGACAAAAUAAAUUUAAAAGAUGCCUUGCUGUAUUGAGAGAGGAACAGAUAAAUGCUAUGCAAUCAUUGAAUUUUCAGAUGAUGGUAUUUAACUUGUACCGAAACUUUGGUUAUUUGAUGAUGCCUGUGGCCUAACUAUGUGAAUCAACUAAACAUGAACAAUAGCUGCUUACAGGACAUAGAAAGGAGAGGACCAGUAGCAGCAUCUCAAAAGAAAGCAGUAAUUCAAAUAUGGGGAAAUUGGAG